ACUUGCAGCCUGCCCCUCCACCCCACCCGCUGGUGAAUCUGAACCGCCAGCUGGUGAAUAAAGGUGGUUCCGUCUUGUGCUUUAAGAUCGACUCGAUGGUUUAUUGCAAUCCCACCAUAACAUUUUGGAGGCCCCAGUGAGAUGAUCACCAGAGUCAAGGCUGUGGCUCUCGGGUGCAUGGGAGUCCUGGAUCCUCUGAAGGGGAGAGAGGCGUCUUCCCUCUCUAGUUGUGGGAGUUCUCUGCUUUGCCAGGGUCUGGACCUGCUGGGAUGACCGAUUGGAGCCUGCCCAUGACAGAGCACCGGGUGCAGCUCACACCUGUAAUUCCAGAGGCUCUGGAGGAGGACGGAACUGCACGUGUCUGGAGCUUCCAAGUGUCCUCUGUACAACGAGGAAGGUGCCUGAUGCUGCACGGAGUGAGCUGAGGUGUGGGCCUGACGCACAGGUGCUCAGCCAUGACUGCACCAUCCAGGCCCAGGGACACAGGAGCCCGGGUGCCUAACAACAGAGCGACGAUAAACCAGGCGAAAGAGUGACAAAUGAAGACCCACCUCCUGGAGGAGGCCUGCUGAGAUUUUUUUAAGGAAAUGAACUCUUGGUGACGUUUCAUCAGAACAACGGUAGGAGCUGGUUGUCGUGGCUCUGGUGCAGGCGGGGGUCAGGUUGGGAUGGAGGCUCAGAAGGAGAACCUGUGGAGAAGGAGUCGGUAGGACCUCGAGGAUGCUCUCCGUGGAGCUCAGUGUCUUCUCUGGGUGGGCAUUUUUAAUCCCUCCCAGCUUCCUGUUGCAGAGGCCUAUUUGUAGGUGAGUGUAGCUGAGAGGUUUGGGGCUCCCUGCUCCCACCUAGCACCUCCUGGUAGACAGAGGCUGUGCCUCAGGGGCAACCUGCUGAGAAUACUGGGGUCACGAUUGCCAUCACCCUGGCGCGUUCCUAGAGCAGAGGUUCUCUCCCAGGACAGAGGCCGCCGGCACCUCCCACCCAGCACCGGCUUCUGAAGCAGGAGGAUCACGUCACCUCCAGCUCUGGAGCCACUACUCAGAGCUUGUUCUGGAGUGGGAGGUCUUUUGAUUACAGCAACCCAAAGCUGACGGAAACACUGCAUGUGGGAAAGUUCAAGCCAAGGACACUCUCAAAAAAGUUGGAGGUUUUGGUGGAGAACAAUUCAGGGAGGCUGAGACUUCAUGGGAGAUACAGGUGACCCCACUGAUCAGAGCGACUCCAGGAAAGAGGCAGCCCGACAGACCUAUGUGGGUCAGCACAACACAGGACUAUCUCCUCUGCUUCCUCUGUGACUCCCCCGUGCUGGCUGUGCGGACAUUUUGCCACCGUCCCUCUCCUCUUGCACACGCCUUGGCAAAGAGGGCACAAAAAAAUAAAAUUAUAAACCAAAUUUUCUUAUGAUUAAAAUUUGAUGCAAUACCAAGGGCUCAGCUCAGUCAAUACAUAAAAAGAAUAACGCUCAUAACAAAGUAGGAUUGAUUUCAAGAAUAUGAGGAUAGUGUAAAAUUAGGAAAUUGGUUAAUAUUGAUAAAUCAUUUCACUGAUCAAUGAAAAAAUAUAUAACCACCCAAUUUAAAAAAAAAUUCUUAGU
Molecule: long non-coding RNA, 1591 nt
Organism: Sciurus carolinensis (gray squirrel)
Lineage: Eukaryota; Metazoa; Chordata; Mammalia; Rodentia; Sciuridae
Exons: 3
Source: RefSeq, a predicted model, not a curated record